GUCUACGCUCAUACCACCCUGAAUAUAUCUGAUCCUGUCUGACCUUGGAAGCUAAGCAGGGGCAGAUCUAGUUAGUACUUAGGUUAAAAAAAAAAAAAAGUCAACAGAGACUUUGAGAGAAUUGUGGUGGUGGUGGUG
Erinaceus europaeus (western European hedgehog) is the source of this 138-nucleotide non-coding RNA. The record is from Rfam. Lineage: Eukaryota; Metazoa; Chordata; Mammalia; Eulipotyphla; Erinaceidae.